UAUGAGAGUUUGAUCCUGGCUCAGGACGAACGCUGGCGGCGUGCCUAAUACAUGCAAGUCGAACGCUUCUUUUUCCACCGGAGCUUGCUCCACCGGAAAAAGAGGAGUGGCGAACGGGUGAGUAACACGUGGGUAACCUGCCCAUCAGAAGGGGAUAACACUUGGAAACAGGUGCUAAUACCGUAUAACAAUCGAAACCGCAUGGUUUUGAUUUGAAAGGCGCUUUCGGGUGUCGCUGAUGGAUGGACCCGCGGUGCAUUAGCUAGUUGGUGAGGUAACGGCUCACCAAGGCCACGAUGCAUAGCCGACCUGAGAGGGUGAUCGGCCACAUUGGGACUGAGACACGGCCCAAACUCCUACGGGAGGCAGCAGUAGGGAAUCUUCGGCAAUGGACGAAAGUCUGACCGAGCAACGCCGCGUGAGUGAAGAAGGUUUUCGGAUCGUAAAACUCUGUUGUUAGAGAAGAACAAGGAUGAGAGUAACUGUUCAUCCCUUGACGGUAUCUAACCAGAAAGCCACGGCUAACUACGUGCCAGCAGCCGCGGUAAUACGUAGGUGGCAAGCGUUGUCCGGAUUUAUUGGGCGUAAAGCGAGCGCAGGCGGUUUCUUAAGUCUGUAUUAUUUGAUGACGGCAGAAGGCGGUACAGGAAGAGGAAACUGGGAGACUUGAGUGCAGAAGAGGAGAGUGGAAUUCCAUGUGUAGCGGUGAAAUGCGUAGAUAUAUGGAGGAACACCAGUGGCGAAGGCGGCUCUCUGGUCUGUAACUGACGCUGAGGCUCGAAAGCGUGGGGAGCAAACAGGAUUAGAUACCCUGGUAGUCCACGCCGUAAACGAUGAGUGCUAAGUGUUGGAGGGUUUCCGCCCUUCAGUGCUGCAGCUAACGCAUUAAGCACUCCGCCUGGGGAGUACGACCGCAAGGUUGAAACUCAAAGGAAUUGACGGGGGCCCGCACAAGCGGUGGAGCAUGUGGUUUAAUUCGAAGCAACGCGAAGAACCUUACCAGGUCUUGACAUCCUUUGACCACUCUAGAGAUAGAGCUUCCCCUUCGGGGGCAAAGUGACAGGUGGUGCAUGGUUGUCGUCAGCUCGUGUCGUGAGAUGUUGGGUUAAGUCCCGCAACGAGCGCAACCCUUAUUGUUAGUUGCCAUCAUUCAGUUGGGCACUCUAGCAAGACUGCCGGUGACAAACCGGAGGAAGGUGGGGAUGACGUCAAAUCAUCAUGCCCCUUAUGACCUGGGCUACACACGUGCUACAAUGGGAAGUACAACGAGUCGCGAAGUCGCGAGGCUAAGCUAAUCUCUUAAAGCUUCUCUCAGUUCGGAUUGCAGGCUGCAACUCGCCUGCAUGAAGCCGGAAUCGCUAGUAAUCGCGGAUCAGCACGCCGCGGUGAAUACGUUCCCGGGCCUUGUACACACCGCCCGUCACACCACGAGAGUUUGUAACACCCGAAGUCGGUGAGGUAACCUUUUGGAGCCAGCCGCCUAAGGUGGGAUAGAUGAUUGGGGUGAAGUCGUAACAAGGUAGCCGUAUCGGAAGGUGCGGCUGGAUCACCUCCUUU
RNAcentral lists this ribosomal RNA (1557 nucleotides) under Enterococcus faecium. RNAcentral's name for it is "bacterial SSU rRNA". It matches the Rfam family "Bacterial small subunit ribosomal RNA". The record is from RNAcentral. Lineage: Bacteria; Bacillati; Bacillota; Bacilli; Lactobacillales; Enterococcaceae.